RNAcentral lists this ribosomal RNA (460 nucleotides) under uncultured bacterium. RNAcentral describes it as "partial 16S ribosomal RNA". It matches the Rfam family "Bacterial small subunit ribosomal RNA", at positions 338 to 795 of the family's 1533-position model. The record is from RNAcentral.
CCUACGGGAGGCAGCAGUGAGGAAUUUUGGUCAAUGGACGAGAGUCUGAACCAGCCAAGUAGCGUGAAGGAUGACUGCCCUAUGGGUUGUAAACUUCUUUUAUAAAGGAAUAAAACGAGGCACGUGUGCCUUUUUGCAUGUACUUUAUGAAUAAGGAUCGGCUAACUCCGUGCCAGCAGCCGCGGUAAUACGGAGGAUCCGAGCGUUAUCCGGAUUUAUUGGGUUUAAAGGGAGCGUAGAUGGGUUGUUAAGUUAGUUGUGAAAGUCUGCGGCUCAACCGUGAAAUUGCAAUUGAUACUGGCAGUCUUGAGUACAGUUGAGGUAGGCGGAAUUCGUGGUGUAGCGGUGAAAUGCAUAGAGAUCACGCAGAACCCCGAUUGCGAAGGCAGCUUACUAAACUGUGACUGACAUUGAUGCACGAAAGUGUGGGUAGCAAACAGGAUUAGAUACCCCUGUAGUC